CCAGAAAACUCCACGUGACCACCCGUCCGAGUGAGGCGCGAACCCACAACCGAACUUCCAGUGUUCAGGGAACGAAAACCGCUUGGCCACUGGUGAGCCGCAAAACCCCGUGACUUCCAGUAUUUUUGACAGACGACUAGCAGAAGCAAAUUUGCAUAUUCGGCAGCCUAUACGCACCCCAACAUCAUCGGCUUAGUUUGCAGUGUCGAUGUGACAGAGAAGUGUGGACAUCUACAAACUGGCAACCUAUCUUGUUAAACGAUGAAUCCCGAUUUUAUUUGGGAACAGACGACCACCUAAUUAAAGGACCGGUGGUUGCUACAAACAGCCAUUUUCCAGCAAGAUAAUGCACGGCCAUACAUUGCUAGGAUUUCCAAAAUAUGAUUUCGUCACACUUCCUUAACUUGCUCUCUCUUCAGAUUUGUAAUACUAUCGGGCGCCACUUCGUCCUUCUACCAGUGUCAGGGACCUGAAGCGGUAUUUGAAACAUCCACGAGGAAAUCUGUGGCCGAAUACCAUAUUGUGUUUGUGUGUUUCUAUUCCCGACUGUAUCUCUUCACCUGACCAAACAGAACAUCAUGAAUUACAUAAUUCUGAUCCUAUUAGUCACAUCCUUAUGCCAAAUUUUACCUGCAAAUACAUACGAUGCCAGUAAGGUCAAUUCAUCUUCAUGGCAUCCGAUUUCAAAAAGAGAUAGCCCGAUCGAAUGGAAAAGUUGCAACGAUGAUGGACCAGUAAGAAUGACUAGUCUUGUUUUAUUUCCGAA
Centruroides sculpturatus (bark scorpion) is the source of this 766-nucleotide long non-coding RNA. RefSeq lists it as uncharacterized. The record is from RefSeq and is a predicted model, not a curated record. The transcript has 3 exons. Lineage: Eukaryota; Metazoa; Arthropoda; Arachnida; Scorpiones; Buthidae.